This 213-nucleotide unclassified non-coding RNA is filed under the name Pseudomonas extremorientalis. RNAcentral describes it as "Pseudomonas sRNA P29". RNAcentral also lists the same sequence under 5 other names. The record is from RNAcentral. Lineage: Bacteria; Pseudomonadati; Pseudomonadota; Gammaproteobacteria; Pseudomonadales; Pseudomonadaceae.
AUGCACAAAGGGGACCCGAGGGUCCCCUUUAAUUUGUCGUUGCGUGCUCUUUUUUUAUUAUUGAGGGGCGGUCUAUUGUUGUUUUUGGCAACCGUUACCCUUUACCGCUGUUUUUGGCGACCCCCAUCCGGGAUCAAGAGCAAACGUAUUUUUUUGAGCGCUGAUCUGCUUCUUCGUGAUGAUCCAACCAGUGGGCAGCUACCUGAGGUAGUU